GGUAUUGGAUAUCGAAAGUCUAGUUCACAUAUGCAAUUCAUUGCAAAGACUUCAAGUUAAUAGAAAAUUUGAGAAUAGUGAGAGAUUCCUAAAUGUGGGAGAUGGAAGCCAAGUUUCAAUCCUGACUUUAGGAGUCAUUGAGCUUGUUUUCAAAUCUAACAAUGUCAAAUCUAACAAUGUCAUUAUUGUCCAUCUUUCUUGAUGAG
This 206-nucleotide long non-coding RNA is filed under the name Elaeis guineensis (African oil palm). RNAcentral describes it as "long non-coding RNA (EGUI_LNC068011)". The record is from RNAcentral. Lineage: Eukaryota; Viridiplantae; Streptophyta; Magnoliopsida; Arecales; Arecaceae.